CCUCUGCCCUCCAUAAAGUUAGGUUGUCCCUCAGUAACUGCAUUAUUAGUGUGCUGUCUUUGUAAGAUUCUUCAUGCAAUGUAUCAAGAUCUGCAAUUGCAUCAUCAAAAGCCUGUUUCAAGGAUACAAAAAAAUGCAUU
This is a long non-coding RNA of Protopterus annectens (West African lungfish), 140 nucleotides long. RefSeq lists it as uncharacterized. The transcript has 3 exons. The record is from RefSeq and is a predicted model, not a curated record. Lineage: Eukaryota; Metazoa; Chordata; Ceratodontiformes; Protopteridae.